UUAUACUCUUCCUAAGCAGGGACGGAGCUAUGUGAAGGCCCAAGGUGGCCAUGGCCCUUCUCAACUUCUCAAUAUUUGCUUAAUGGUCCUUCAUAGUUCUUUUUUUUUGGUGGGCCAUGGGUAGCUUUGACAUCCCUAGUUUUUAAUAUUUACUUAAUAGUAUGGCGCCAACAUAACUCUCUCUCUCUCUCUUCCUCCUAACUGAUAUACUCUUUUUAUGGAGGAAAAUAUAUUAAGACCAUCUUACUUAUAGAGUAUUUUGUAAUGUAUUUCUCUACUCUAAAAAUUUUAUUUAAUAAUUUUUAAAACUUUUAUUUAUCUUAGGUGAGCUCUUUUAUUUGACUAAAUCAAGGAUUGCACUAAAUUUAAUAGUUAUAUUAAUUUUAUUUAUAAAAAAACUAAAAAAUUACUGUUAGAUUUAGUAAAAUUUCUAUGUUAUUUUAAUGUGAUAAUAUAAAUA
Molecule: long non-coding RNA, 460 nt
Filed under: Ananas comosus (pineapple)
Lineage: Eukaryota; Viridiplantae; Streptophyta; Magnoliopsida; Poales; Bromeliaceae
Description: long non-coding RNA (ACOM_LNC022232)
Source: RNAcentral